UUCCAGACUCCUACGGGAGGCAGCAGUGGGGAAUAUUGCACAAUGGGGGAAACCCUGAUGCAGCGACGCCGCGUGAGUGAAGAAGCGUUUCGGCGCGUAAAGCUCUGUCAGCGGGGAAGAAACACGGUUCGCGAGAGCCGCGGACGGUACCCGACCAAGAAGCCCCGGCUAACUACGUGCCAGCAGCCGCGGUAAUACGUAGGGGGCAAGCGUUAUCCGGAUUUACUGGGUGUAAAGGGAGCGUAGACGGCGAUACAAGUCUGAAGUGAAAGCCCGGGGCUCAACCCCGGGACUGCUUUGGAAACUGUGUUGCUGGAGUGCUGGAGAGGCAAGCGGAAUUCCUAGUGUAGCGGUGAAAUGCGUAGAUAUUAGGAAGAACACCAGUGGCGAAGGCGGCUUGCUGGACAGUAACUGACGUUGAGGCUCGAAAGCGUGGGGAGCAAACAGGAUUAGAUACCCGGGUACC
This 466-nucleotide ribosomal RNA is filed under the name uncultured bacterium. Its description in RNAcentral is "bacterial SSU rRNA". It matches the Rfam family "Bacterial small subunit ribosomal RNA", at positions 329 to 794 of the family's 1533-position model. The record is from RNAcentral.